AAAUUGAAGAGUUUGAUCAUGGCUCAGAUUGAACGCUGGCGGCAGGCCUAACACAUGCAAGUCGAACGGUAACAGGAAGCAGCUUGCUGCUUUGCUGACGAGUGGCGGACGGGUGAGUAAUGUCUGGGAAACUGCCUGAUGGAGGGGGAUAACUACUGGAAACGGUGGCUAAUACCGCAUAACGUCGCAAGACCAAAGAGGGGGACCUUCGGGCCUCUUGCCAUCAGAUGUGCCCAGAUGGGAUUAGCUAGUUGGUGAGGUAACGGCUCACCAAGGCGACGAUCCCUAGCUGGUCUGAGAGGAUGACCAGCCACACUGGAACUGAGACACGGUCCAGACUCCUACGGGAGGCAGCAGUGGGGAAUAUUGCACAAUGGGCGCAAGCCUGAUGCAGCCAUGCCGCGUGUAUGAAGAAGGCCU
RNAcentral lists this ribosomal RNA (420 nucleotides) under Salmonella enterica. RNAcentral describes it as "bacterial SSU rRNA". It matches the Rfam family "Bacterial small subunit ribosomal RNA", at positions 1 to 417 of the family's 1533-position model. RNAcentral also lists the same sequence under 2 other names. Lineage: Bacteria; Pseudomonadati; Pseudomonadota; Gammaproteobacteria; Enterobacterales; Enterobacteriaceae. The record is from RNAcentral.